This 73-nucleotide transfer RNA is filed under the name Alosa alosa (allis shad). Its description in RNAcentral is "tRNA-OTHER". Lineage: Eukaryota; Metazoa; Chordata; Actinopteri; Clupeiformes; Clupeidae. The record is from RNAcentral.
GCAGCCGUGGCCCACUGGUUAGGGCUUCGGGCUUAGAACCCAAGGUUGCCGGUUUGAUCUCCGACCAGUAGGA